GUCGUUGUAGUAUAGUGGUGAGUAUCCCGCCUGUCACGCGGGAGACCCGGGUUCGACCCGGCAACGGCG
Molecule: transfer RNA, 69 nt
Filed under: Ipomoea nil (Japanese morning glory)
Lineage: Eukaryota; Viridiplantae; Streptophyta; Magnoliopsida; Solanales; Convolvulaceae
Rfam family: tRNA
About the family: Transfer RNA (tRNA) molecules are approximately 80 nucleotides in length. Their secondary structure includes four short double-helical elements and three loops (D, anti-codon, and T loops).
Source: Rfam by way of RNAcentral